ACAUGAAAAAAAAUAUGGUAAUGAAGUCAUAAUGAGGCCUGACGUCAUGACAGUUGCUCCGCCCUGAUUGAUCCAUAUAAGGAAAUGGUGCUCAAAAUAACUAUUUACCGAUAUUGGUAACAAUUUGUAUUAAACAACAAUAUCUUCAUGUUUAAAUAGAAAAUAAUUAGUGAUUUUCUCGUAUAUAAAAUAGCAUGUCUUUAAAAUAAUUCUCUUUUUAACGUGUCGUUUGUCUGCAUUCGGCUUCAGCCAAGCGCUUGCACUCGGUGACACGGAAUGUUGUUUACAUCUAAAAACGUGGCGACAUCAGCUGAGAUUUGCAGUGGAUUUAAAUGCAAUAACCACACAAUCUUUAAAGAAAAUAGGGAUAGAAUAAGAGACAAGGCAUUGCUUCUCCAUUUAACAAGAAUAUGAGGACAUUAUUUCGGAAAAUAGCAGAAAACCGAGACGAUUUGCACCAGCUCUAGCUCCGUAGAUCAAUCACUGCACUGUAAUUCCAGGCCAGCUGUCCAGAGUUUCAGGCUUAAAGAGUGAAUAAAUAAAAAAUGCAUCAUUUCUCCACAGGGCCUAGCUAUUCCCAGAUGUUGGACAAAUGGAUUCAUUCAGGCAGCAAGUUAAUCCAUCAUUUAAUGGUAUGCUCAAUAUAAGCAAUAAACCAUACAAAGUUUUGAUAAUAAAACUAACAGAAGAAUUGAAAACAUGUGUAGUGGACAGUAUAUAGGGAACUUAUACUGCAUCGCCAGUGAGCUUGCUUUUCUGGUGAUGCGGUAGAGUCUCCCUCUAUUUCAGGCAAAGUUAAGCAACGGCGAGCCUGUUUAACCUUUGGAUGGGUGACCGCUUCAUGUUACACAUAAUUCAUUUUAUCCACAAGAACAUGAAGAACAUGAGGUGAUGGAAAUAAUUUGCACCUGCCCAGCAUUCCUACAGUCUGUCAUUGGAUUUGAAAAGAAAUGUUUAUUAAAUAAAUUUUCUAGAUGAAUAAAAAUUUGACUUUUUCAUAUAUUUACUGUACAGGUGUUGAAAAGGCCAUUAAGAUAUGAAAAUCUUAACUUCUUACUAUUUUGUGUGGAGGGUACUAAUGAUCAUCAAGAUCAUAUUUCCAGCAUGUGCAUUGUGUUCAUUUAUCUUUCAAUAAUAUUGCCAAAAACAGGA
Saccostrea cuccullata (small rock oyster) is the source of this 1152-nucleotide long non-coding RNA. RefSeq lists it as uncharacterized. The transcript has 4 exons. NCBI's taxonomy places the organism in Eukaryota, Metazoa, Mollusca, Bivalvia, Ostreida, Ostreidae. The record is from RefSeq and is a predicted model, not a curated record.